Molecule: long non-coding RNA, 244 nt
Filed under: Vitis vinifera (wine grape)
Lineage: Eukaryota; Viridiplantae; Streptophyta; Magnoliopsida; Vitales; Vitaceae
Description: long non-coding RNA (VVIN_LNC004593)
Source: RNAcentral
GAGAAUGCAAACACAAGAGUUUAUAGUGGUUCGGCGCAACCCGGCCUACAUCCACUCUCCUCUAGCUUCAAUCCCGAGCUUGAGGUUCCACUAAUCCAAGGCUUCCAAACCAAGCCUUCAAGCAAUACAAUUGGAUUAUGGUUCCAAUUCACCCUCUUGGACUUUUGGCUCCAAGCACCCUUUACACUUCUCAAGAGAUAUCCUACUCUUGAACAACCCCUCAAGUGAUACCCCACACUUGAGA